UACCUCGUAUACAGGUGGGGUAGGAUGC
This 28-nucleotide small RNA is filed under the name Bombyx mori (domestic silkworm). Its description in RNAcentral is "ovarian small RNA-20869". The record is from RNAcentral. Lineage: Eukaryota; Metazoa; Arthropoda; Insecta; Lepidoptera; Bombycidae.